AACAAGCGCACAGAUGGUCGUUGCGUUG
RNAcentral lists this small RNA (28 nucleotides) under Bombyx mori (domestic silkworm). RNAcentral's name for it is "ovarian small RNA-2440". Lineage: Eukaryota; Metazoa; Arthropoda; Insecta; Lepidoptera; Bombycidae. The record is from RNAcentral.